UGCCUAAUACAUGCAAGUCGAGCGAACGGACGAGAAGCUUGCUUCUCUGAUGUUAGCGGCGGACGGGUGAGUAACACGUGGAUAACCUACCUAUAAGACUGGGAUAACUUCGGGAAACCGGAGCUAAUACCGGAUAAUAUUUUGAACCGCAUGGUUCAAAAGUGAAAGACGGUCUUGCUGUCACUUAUAGAUGGAUCCGCGCUGCAUUAGCUAGUUGGUAAGGUAACGGCUUACCAAGGCAACGAUGCAUAGCCGACCUGAGAGGGUGAUCGGCCACACUGGAACUGAGACACGGUCCAGACUCCUACGGGAGGCAGCAGUAGGGAAUCUUCCGCAAUGGGCGAAAGCCUGACGGAGCAACGCCGCGUGAGUGAUGAAGGUCUUCGGAUCGUAAAACUCUGUUAUUAGGGAAGAACAUAUGUGUAAGUAACUGUGCACAUCUUGACGGUACCUAAUCAGAAAGCCACGGCUAACUACGUGCCAGCAGCCGCGGUAAUACGUAGGUGGCAAGCGUUAUCCGGAAUUAUUGGGCGUAAAGCGCGCGUAGGCGGUUUUUUAAGUCUGAUGUGAAAGCCCACGGCUCAACCGUGGAGGGUCAUUGGAAACUGGAAUACUUGAGUGCAGAAGAGGAAAGUGGAAUUCCAUGUGUAGCGGUGAUAUGCGCAGAGAUAUGGAGGUACACCAGUGGCGAAGG
This 694-nucleotide ribosomal RNA is filed under the name uncultured Staphylococcus sp. RNAcentral's name for it is "bacterial SSU rRNA". It matches the Rfam family "Bacterial small subunit ribosomal RNA", at positions 45 to 721 of the family's 1533-position model. Lineage: Bacteria; Bacillati; Bacillota; Bacilli; Caryophanales; Staphylococcaceae. The record is from RNAcentral.